RNAcentral lists this signal recognition particle RNA (264 nucleotides) under Candidatus Cloacimonadota bacterium. Its description in RNAcentral is "Candidatus Cloacimonetes bacterium (marine metagenome) signal recognition particle sRNA large type". It matches the Rfam family "Bacterial large signal recognition particle RNA". Rfam says of the family: The signal recognition particle (SRP) is a universally conserved ribonucleoprotein involved in the co-translational targeting of proteins to membranes. Archaeal SRP consists of a 7S RNA and homologues of the eukaryotic SRP19 and SRP54 proteins. In most bacteria, the SRP consists of a 4.5S RNA and the Ffh protein (a homologue of the eukaryotic SRP54 protein). The record is from RNAcentral. Lineage: Bacteria; Pseudomonadati; Candidatus Cloacimonadota.
GUGCGCUAGGUGGGGAGUUAGCGGUGCCCUGUAACCCGCAAUCCGCUAUAGCGGGACUGAAUUCCUGCAUGAGAAUACCGAUCUUUUUAAUGAGAGAUCGAUAAGUGGUGUUGAGAAUCAAGCCCAACGCAAUUAUAAACUGUGAACUUUGUCAGAUCCGGAAGGAAGCAGCAAUAAGCAGAACUUAUGAUGUGCCGUUGGUCAACUUGGUUUGAGCUAACUGUCGAUUUCAGUUAGAAAUAAGUAUCGAUUGCAGGUGCGCAC